Non-coding RNA from Trichonephila clavipes, 80 nucleotides. Lineage: Eukaryota; Metazoa; Arthropoda; Arachnida; Araneae; Nephilidae. The record is from the annotation of a GenBank genome assembly.
GUCCCUGUAGCGCAAUAGAUAGCACCACACACUUUGGACUUCUUAUCCAAAGGUCGUGGGUUCAAAUCCUACCUGGGAUA